GUGCACGUCUGUGUUCAACAACCACACAAGAGAGAAGGACAGUAGCCCAUGUCGGAAGAAUAGAAAAACCUUUAUUAUUCACAUGUAUGUGUCAUAACAAGCAGUUUAGGAGGAAAAGGGAGCAGGAGAGAAGCAAAUGUGUCGCCGGAGUGUGCUCAGUAAAUACUUUCAUCUGUUUCAGGUCAGCCUACAUACCUGCGAGGAAGAGAGGAGGAACAGAGAAGGCAAAGAGCUGCAUGGACGUGAGCGCAGUCGUCGCGAUGACAUCCUCGUCAGACAAGUUUUACCACACAGUGACAGCGGUGAAAGUUUAGACACCUCAGAACAGAAAAAAAGGAGCAAAAGGUGAGUUAGAUAAAAUAGUUUGUAUUCAGUCAAAAAAUAAAAUAUCACUGUACGGUUGACGUGCACAAACAAACAAUAAAGUGCAUGUCGCUGUUUCAUUCUGCGCCCCUGCCUUCUUUCUUCCUUCCAUCCAAUUUACCCUCUUUCUUCCUGUUUGCCGAGACAUUUUCCCCUCCGCUACAAAGCCGGCGUCAUGUUCAGAGCUUUUCUACAUAAGUGUUUCAUGUCACUCCUUUUCCCCCUAAAACACACUUGCCUAUUCCAUGUGUUCUUGGUCUUAUAUUUGGGUUUGAGAGUAGAUAGGUAACAUUAAAGAGCUAUCACUUUCUCUCUCUGUCAUUCCCCUCCUUCAUACACCAUUUGAUCUGAAGCCAGAUGGCUUUCAGAUGCAGACACGCACGCACACACACACACACACACACACACACACAAAAUACGUGCGCGCAAACACAUGCACCGGCACAAACAAUUUGCACACGCUUCCGUCUGACUGACAGAUAAACAGUUUGAGGGAACACACGUACACGCACGCUCAAACAUGUGCAAAAACACACCUUUAUCUCGCAAAGGCUUUUAUUUUGUGUAUUUCCUCCUAGCCAAACAUCAAAAGGCGAAUACCGUCUCACAGACAAACAACAAUAUUACAAUCCUCGGUACUCGACAAUGCCAUUUUCAAAUGCCCCACCCUUGACAACUUGUGGAAUGGGUUGAAGGGAAGGAGGAUUCAAACAGACAUGAAUACACAACAAAUACCACCUACAGCCAAUAAAAUAUGCAUGGCAGAGGACAUCUACCUUUAAACUGACUACUGUCAGAAUUAAUAACGCGCACGAAAGACACAGUGACUGUUUUCCACAGGUGUUUGUCUGCGUGUCUCCAUAUUCUAUUCUACCCAUGUUCUAUUUUUGCGCGUACGGAUGUUUGCAUGCUUGUGCUCUCAGAUACAACGCUGCUCAAUAAUGUAAUGUCAGAGUGCUCGAAAAGCUCGGAUUAUUAGAGGAGUUUCUUUGAGAAUUUUGUCAUAUUUUUGUUCACUUCUACAAAUUCUGACAACCGUGUAUAAUAUCUCAAAAUACGCUAACUUCUAAACGGGGCAUAAAUCAGUUCGACUACUGAGCAGAAUUAUAGCCACGCCGCAGAUGUCUCCGAAAUGUUCAAGUACAAAAUGUUCUGAAAGUCAAAAUUAAUGCACUUGGAUUUUAAAAAUGUGCCCAGGAAAAAAAACCUUGAUAUGUUAGAUCCCAAUAACUCAUCCUUUUUUUCUUUUACUCCUGCCUUUGUUCACUCUCUUUCUGAUCUGUAAUUGAAAAAGCAUUCCAUUUUUAUUUUUCACCGCUAUCCAAAGGCUAAAUCCAAAACACCAGCCAAGAGGUUAGCCUGGUCACCUGGCACCCACAGGCACUCUUUCUCCCAUUCUCUCUCUCUCUCUCUAUCUCGCACACACACACACUUAAAGGCACGGACAUACACACACCUGGCUGCUGUGCUUCAAUAAACUGUAAAUUCCUCCUCUGCGCCCACCGUACCCAAGCUAACCCUUUAAAAGUCACCCGCCUCCACCUUGUAAUGCAUGAACACACACACACACACACACUCACACGCACACACGCAUGCACAUACAUACUUACCCACAGUCACACACAACAGACAAGCCCAAACACACAAAAAAACAAUGUGGCUUAGUGGAUGGUAUCAAAUUUAGUGGCCACGGGGAUCUGGCUGGGGUCGUAAAUCUAUAUCUAACAUGUGAGAAAAGCUCUACAUGAAUAUCUGGAGACACAGGGGGAGAGGGAGACAGAGAGACAGACAGCAGGAUACAGAGCAAGAGACAAAGGGAAAGGAGGCAAAGUAAAGGGAGUCUUGUAGAGAAGGAGCAGAGGCACAGACAAACCGCAUCAGUAGGAGACAGGAAGCCGAGCGAGGUACAGCAGCGAAAUAAACAAAUGCAAGACGGGAGAGAGAAAGCGAGUGGGAGAGUGGGCGACAAAGCACAGCGGAGGAGAGGGGGAAUAAGAGAUAAAGAUAAACCGGCAGAGAGAGAAAUAGAAAGAUAGACGGAGCAAGAGAGUCACAGACGGAGGGUAUGACAGCGAGAGAUAUUUGGGCGGAGAGACCGAGCGAGGGAGAGAAGGAGGGCUGAGUGAGAGCCAGAGACAGACAGACAGACAGACGGAGAGAUACAUGACCCCUCUCUCUCUAACAAUGGCUCUUCAUGUGGUGCCCAGCUUAGCAGGCGAGCCGGUGGAAUCAGGAAUGUGGAAUGUGGGAUUUCAGGCUUGGAAGUGAUAGCUACUGUCUGUGUGUAAUAUUUAGGGCCGACACAGGGAGCCUCUGGCACGCCAUGAAACACAUGGACGCCAGUGCUCUCUCUGCUGCGAGUCGGUUUAUGUCUCAAGCAUGCGUGCGCAUACAUACAUACAUAUGGGCAAAAAAAGUGUCCAACAUUUGCGCAAAGAGUUAAGAUACGUAUAUAAUAUCGUUUAUAAUUUAAACGUCUAAGAAAAAACCUUCAUGUAUUUUUCCCUUCACUGAAUCGUCCCCCGUGUCAUAUUGUUUCCGUCAGUUUAAUCAUAGUUUGGACGACAUGCGGUUGAGGAAAUGUCCAGACGUUUUGCUUAAGCAAAAGUUGCACCGCCACAAAGUAAAAAUACUCAGCAUGUAAAGUGAAGUGAAAUCCUGCAUUUAACAUUUUUCUUCUGGGGGGAAAAAAAAAUAAGGUAAGUGAUAAUAAUGCAGAACUGAAUGUUAUAUGAUUAAAUACUGUUGCUAAUAAGGCUUCCACUCAGGAUCAUUUUUAUUAUCGAUUCAUCUUUUAGACUUUUUUCUUGAUUAAAUGAUGAGUUGUUGGCUCUAUAAAAUGUCCGAAAUUGGUUUAAACAAAAUUCAAAUAAAAAGAUAACAUCUUCGUCAAGAUGUUCAAUUAAUUCAAGAGAAUAAGAGGAGAAAAGAAAGCAGAAUAUAUUCACAUUUAAAAUGUAUUUAUUUUCUUCUUCAAACUGAGUUGUUGACAACAAAACAAUUCAUCUUUGCAGCUGUGUUAUUAUAAACAUAAAAGUAUUAUUCAUACAUAGAUAUGUAUUUGAAUGGUCCAAAUUAGGUUAAUUAAUAAAAAAUAUUGUUUAAUUUAUAAAAUGCAUCAUACUUAAUUUGUUGAUAAUAUGAAAUUGCUAACUGACUAUAGCUGUUGAAAUAACAAUAUUUGAGGAGUAUAGUACACAGUUGGUAAGUAGAAUAAGAUUGUACACUACACUUGACUUCAUAUACUCCAUACACAUCUGCUGUAGGAGGCCUAUCAUAAAG
This is a long non-coding RNA of Sparus aurata (gilthead seabream), 3645 nucleotides long. The record is from Ensembl. NCBI's taxonomy places the organism in Eukaryota, Metazoa, Chordata, Actinopteri, Spariformes, Sparidae.